Molecule: long non-coding RNA, 614 nt
Filed under: Homo sapiens (human)
Lineage: Eukaryota; Metazoa; Chordata; Mammalia; Primates; Hominidae
Description: non-protein coding lnc-MRPL10-1:2
Source: RNAcentral
CCGGUGACUCGGAGACGGUGACUCAGAGGCAGAGCGGCGCAAGGGCCAAGGAGUACUGGCGUCCAUGGACCCUGGGGACCCCGUCAGGAGCAGGUGACAUCCUUCCCCUUCCACCCUGCUCCCUGCUCUACAUCCCCAGCAGGGAGUGGCCUCUCCCUUCUCCAUGGACUUCCAAGAGAGGGACCCGCCCUUCCUGCCUGAGAGCGCUCAGUCCUCAAAGCCCAGCAGUGCUCAGCAGGCCUCUGAGCUGUGGGAGGUGGUGGAGGAGCCUCGGGUCAGGCUGGGGACAGAGGGUGUCAUGCCUGAGAGGCAGGAAGGUCACCUGCUCAAGAAGAGGAAGUGGCCUCUGAAGGGCUGGCACAAGGUAGGGUGGGCAGGCAAAGGGAGGGUCCAGACAUGGGGGGCGGGGUGGGAAUGGGGGGCAGCUGCUGGGCAGUCCAAUGGUGUUUGCAUGAUGAGAAGGAAAAGAAAAGCUAAUUUGUGUGGUUGCCUUCUCCCUCAUGCCCUUCCUCUCGGCCUCCCGGGUCCUGUCACUCCUGGGCAACAUCACAGAGAUACUUUGUGCUCGAGGACGGGAUCCUUCAUUAUGCAACAACCCGGCAAGACGUGAGCCC